GAUGAACGCUGGCGGCGUGCCUAAUACAUGCAAGUCGAGCGAACAGACGAGGAGCUUGCUCCUCUGACGUUAGCGGCGGACGGGUGAGUAACACGUGGAUAACCUACCUAUAAGACUGGGAUAACUUCGGGAAACCGGAGCUAAUACCGGAUAAUAUAUUGAACCGCAUGGUUCAAUAGUGAAAGACGGUUUUGCUGUCACUUAUAGAUGGAUCCGCGCCGCAUUAGCUAGUUGGUAAGGUAACGGCUUACCAAGGCAACGAUGCGUAGCCGACCUGAGAGGGAGAGCGCACACAGUAGAAGAGACACGCUGCACAGACCUAUAGGGGACGCAGGUGUAGGGUAUUUUGCGAAAGGGGAGAGCGCGUCAGGGCGAAACGCCGUGAGAGAGAAGAAGGUUCGGGUCGUGAAACUCUCUGUUAUGAGGGAAGAAAAAAUGUGUGAGUAAAUAUGCGUGUCUGGGCGAUAUAUUCAGAGAGAGCCGCGGAUAAAUGCG
This 495-nucleotide ribosomal RNA is filed under the name uncultured bacterium. Its description in RNAcentral is "partial 16S ribosomal RNA". It matches the Rfam family "Bacterial small subunit ribosomal RNA", at positions 28 to 505 of the family's 1533-position model. The record is from RNAcentral.